This 1427-nucleotide long non-coding RNA is filed under the name Equus caballus (horse). RNAcentral's name for it is "lncRNA (ENSECAG00000057812.1)". Lineage: Eukaryota; Metazoa; Chordata; Mammalia; Perissodactyla; Equidae. The record is from RNAcentral.
UCAGUGAACACAUCCCUGUACCAGGAGGGUGACGUGCCCUUACUCCACAGGGACAGAGGCUCCUGCACCUGGGACCCCCCAGACCUUGCCCUAUGCAUCUCUUCAUGUGGCUAUUCCUCUGUAGCCUUUAUCAUAUCCCUUAAUAAACUGAGAAACAUAAGUGUUUCCCUGGGUUCCGAGAGCUGCUCUAGCAAAUAACUGAAUCCCAGGGGGAGGAGGUCAUGAAAACCUUUGAUUUGUAGCCAGAUCCGACAGAAGCUGUAGGUAACCUGGGAACCUUCUACUUGGAAUUAACCUCUCAAGAGGGGAGCAGUCCUGUGGGAUCGAGCCCUUAACCUGUGGGAUCUGAUGUUAUCGCCAAGUAGAUAGCGUCAGAAUUGAGUUCAACUGUAGGACACCCAGCUGGUGUCACAGAGAAUUUCUUGUGGGAACCCCCCCCCCCCCCCCCCGACCCAGCACACACACUAUUUGGUGAUCAGGGGCGUCAGAAGUGAAGUGUUCUGUGUAAGUAGUAAAGCAGACACACAGGAGGAGAACACUGUAGGUUUUCCCCUCCACAGUCCUGAGCAUCAUUAAUCAGGGAAAUGCAAAUCAACAUUACAAUGAGAUAUCACCUCACACCUGUUAGGAUGCCUAUUACAAAAAAAGUCUGAAGAUAAAAAGUUUUAGUGUGGGGCUGGCCCCGUGGCCGAGUGGUUAAGUUCGUGCCCUCCACUUCAGCGGCCCGGGUUUCGCCAGUUUGGAUCCUGGGCGCGGACAUGGAGCCACUCAUCAAGCCAUGCUGAGGCAGCGCUCCACCCGCUUCCGACGGACCCUACCCUCAACAUCACGGGACCCGCACGCCUUUCUCUCCCUGGAUGUGGGUGAGCCAAUCUGCUGGUGAGGAGGGGAUAAACUUCUUAAAGAACUUUUAAAAUAAUAUAACCGCCUGAUGUGUGGUUAGUUUGGGAUGUUUCAGUUAUGUUGGGGUCCCCUUCUUUAUGAAGGUUGUCUCAAUUAAGAGAUGAAAAGCAGUAACUCUCCACUGGGCUCCAUCUUGUACAAAUGUUGCAAACUCAUGUUGCAGUUCACUGCGUUAAACCAAGACACUUCCCUGGGAGCCAAGGGGUCUGGGAGAGGGGUGACCUCUUCCAGAACAAUGGCACGUGGCAAGGAACUGACAGGAUGGAAGGGCACCCGCUCCUGCAGGUAGGAUAUCCCAGAGAGCCCAGGUUUGGCUCCAUCGUGUCUCAAGGAGGUCUUAGGAGCCGUGCUGAGCUCAUGGGGUGCUGUUUCCAGAGCCCAAAGCAUAACGGGCAGCUGAGUGGAGGGUCCCAUGGGUCCCAUGCUCAGGGCCUCGGAGAGCCUCUAUCAUCAGGAGAGACCAGUAUGUGGUGGUGACUGCAGCUCCAAUGGCACACAGUGGGGGGCUGGGGCAGGUUCUUGCA